ACCGGGCGAGGACGGUCGCGACCAAGAACUGGCCCAUGAGCGCUCCUACGCCCCCUCCAAUGGAGCCGGACCCGCGGUGGCGGAGACGAGGGUGGCGCCCAACUCGUCUGGACUGGAGUGCGUUCCUGAGCGUUUCUUGGUUUCCUCUUGCGCAGUUCAACUCGUUGCGCGCGGGAGAGGCGAUGCAUAGGAAGGAACGGGACCUCCAGGCCUAAGAAAGUUGAAGUGCGAAGCCUUGAAGCCAAUUGUGUGAAGCUCUACUUAUCCAAGAAUGCAUAUUAUAUAUUGCAAUAAUAGACAUAUCUGCUUUGUAAUAGAUUGGAAAAAUUGUAAUAUACUACCUUCGUGUUAAUUUGAUGAAUUUCACAUGUCCUUUCUGCUCUAUUUGAAA
Long non-coding RNA from Hordeum vulgare subsp. vulgare (domesticated barley), 391 nucleotides. RefSeq lists it as uncharacterized. NCBI's taxonomy places the organism in Eukaryota, Viridiplantae, Streptophyta, Magnoliopsida, Poales, Poaceae. The transcript is spliced from 2 exons. The record is from RefSeq and is a predicted model, not a curated record.